UACGAAGGGGGCUAGCGUUGCUCGGAAUCACUGGGCGUAAAGCGCACGUAGGCGGCUUGUUAAGUCAGGGGUGAAAUCCUGGAGCUCAACUGCAGAACUGCCUUUGAUACUGGCGAGCUUGAGUUCGGGAGAGGUGAGUGGAACUGCGAGUGUAGAGGUGAAAUUCGUAGAUAUUCGCAAGAACACCAGUGGCGAAGGCGGCUCACUGGCCCGAUACUGACGCUGAGGUGCGAAAGCGUGGGGAGCAAACAGG
RNAcentral lists this ribosomal RNA (253 nucleotides) under uncultured bacterium. Its description in RNAcentral is "partial 16S ribosomal RNA". It matches the Rfam family "Bacterial small subunit ribosomal RNA", at positions 524 to 776 of the family's 1533-position model. The record is from RNAcentral.